GAUGAACGCUGGCGGCGUGCUUAACACAUGCAAGUCUAACGGGAAUUCUUUUAUUGAAACUUCGGUCGAUUUAAUUUAAUUCUAGUGGCGGACGGGUGAGUAACGCGUGGGUAACCUGCCUUAUACAGGGGGAUAACAGUCAGAAAUGGCUGCUAAUACCGCAUAAGCGCACAGAGCUGCAUGGCUCAGUGUGAAAAACUCCGGUGGUAUAAGAUGGACCCGCGUUGGAUUAGCUGGUUGGUGGGGUAACGGCCCACCAAGGCGACGAUCCAUAGCCGGCCUGAGAGGGUGAACGGCCACAUUGGGACUGAGACACGGCCCAGACUCCUACGGGAGGCAGCAGUGGGGAAUAUUGCACAAUGGGGGAAACCCUGAUGCAGCGACGCCGCGUGAAGGAAGAAGUAUCUCGGUAUGUAAACUUCUAUCAGCAGGGAAGAUAGUGACGGUACCUGACUAAGAAGCCCCGGCUAACUACGUG
RNAcentral lists this ribosomal RNA (478 nucleotides) under uncultured bacterium. RNAcentral describes it as "partial 16S ribosomal RNA". It matches the Rfam family "Bacterial small subunit ribosomal RNA", at positions 28 to 507 of the family's 1533-position model. The record is from RNAcentral.